Molecule: long non-coding RNA, 877 nt
Filed under: Phoenix dactylifera (date palm)
Lineage: Eukaryota; Viridiplantae; Streptophyta; Magnoliopsida; Arecales; Arecaceae
Description: long non-coding RNA (PDAC_LNC000777)
Source: RNAcentral
CCGAGUCCUUCUAAUCAUAGUUUUUACUAACAAUGCUCAGUUAUGUUCAUCUCCUUUCAGACUUCCACAAAAGUUAUUGAGAAAUGUAUAAGUCAUGUUUUAUGAUAAUUUGCAAAACUUCAUCAUCCAAAAGCAAGCAUUGAUGUCUAACAUGAGGCAAAGGAAGCCUUCCUCUUUUAAGAAAUCCACCUAAUUUGCCCCUACCAACAGAAAAUGUGUACACCAAUGAACUGAAAUCAAGCCCAUAAUUAAUUAGAAACUAUUGAAGUUAACCUAAGCCAACCAAAAAGAACCUUUUCCUUAUUAGAGGAAACAUAAAGAGUACAUUUCAAACCGUAAAACAAACUAAAAGAAUAAUUUUUAUGCCAUCAUUAUAAAAGAAACAUAGUUUACUAGAAGUAGUCUUCAUUAUUUUCCGCAUCAUUAUAUAUGCACUAUGCAUCAUAGAGUUACCUCCUCCUAAACUGAUGAAGGAAGCUUAUAUUGCAGACGUUUUCUGUCUUUCUGUCUCCAUGUGGGAAUAUCCUUGUAGUAAACCUAAUGAAAAUAGCACACAUGAUUGCAUAUCAUUGAGCUAUGGACCCGAGUCCUUCUAAUCAUAGUUAAGUAUUUACUAACAAUGCUCAGUUAUGUUCAUCUCCUUUCAAACUUCCACAAAAGUUAUUGAGAAAUGUAUAGGUCAUGUUUUAUGAUAAUUUGCAAAACUUCAUCAUCCAAAAACAAGCAUUGAUGUCUAACAUGAGGCAGAGGAAGCCUUCCUCUUUUAAGAAAUCCACCUAAUUUGCCCCUACCAACAGAAAUGGUGUACACCAAUGAACUCAAAUCAAGCCCAUAAUUAAUUAGAAAAUAUUAAAGUUAACCUAAGCCAACCAAAAAG